AUUGAACGCUGGCGGCAGGCCUAACACAUGCAAGUCGAACGAGUGGCGGACGGGUGAGUAAUGUCUGGGAAACUGCCUGAUGGAGGGGGAUAACGACUGGAAACGGUAGCUAAUACCGCAUACCAUCAGAUGUGCCCAGAUGGGAGUAGCUUGUUGGUGGGGUAACGGCUCACAAAGGCGACGAUCCCUAGCUGGUCUGAGAGGAUGACCAGACAGACUGGAACUGUGACAGGGUCCAGAAGCCAACGGGAGGAAGAAGUGGGGAAUAUUGGAAAAUGGGAGCAAGCCUGAUGCAGCCAUGCCGCGUGUAUGAAGAAGGCCUUCGGGUUGUAAAGUACUUUCAGCGGGGAGGCGUUACCCGCAGAAGAAGCACCGGCUAACUCCGUGCCAGCCGCCGCGGUAAUAC
RNAcentral lists this ribosomal RNA (406 nucleotides) under uncultured bacterium. RNAcentral's name for it is "partial 16S ribosomal RNA". It matches the Rfam family "Bacterial small subunit ribosomal RNA", at positions 29 to 526 of the family's 1533-position model. The record is from RNAcentral.